CAGUAGCCGCGGUAAUACGAAGGGGGCUAGCGUUGUUCGGAAUCACUGGGCGUAAAGGGUGCGUAGGCGGAUUCUUAAGUCAGGGGUGAAAUCCCGAGGCUCAACCUCGGAACUGCCUUUGAUACUGGGGAUCUUGAGUCCGGAAGAGGUGAGUGGAACUGCGAGUGUAGAGGUGAAAUUCGUAGAUAUUCGCAGGAACACCGGUGGCGAAGGCGGCUCACUGGUCCGGAACUGACGCUGAGGCACGACAGCGUGGGGAGCAAACAGGAUUAGAUACCCGCGUAGUCCCUGUCUCUUAUAC
RNAcentral lists this ribosomal RNA (301 nucleotides) under uncultured bacterium. RNAcentral's name for it is "partial 16S ribosomal RNA". It matches the Rfam family "Bacterial small subunit ribosomal RNA", at positions 509 to 807 of the family's 1533-position model. The record is from RNAcentral.